Molecule: ribosomal RNA, 384 nt
Filed under: uncultured eukaryote
Lineage: Eukaryota
Description: SSU rRNA
Rfam family: Eukaryotic small subunit ribosomal RNA
Source: RNAcentral
AGCUCCAAUAGCGUAUAUUAAAGUUGUUGCAGUUAAAAAGCUCGUAGUUGGAUUUGUGGAUUUGUUGCUCGGUCCGACGCUUCUUGUGUGGGUACCUGAGUGACGGGUCCAUCCUUGGGUCGAAUCUGUGUGGCAUUAGGUUGUCGUGCAGGGGAUGCCCAUCGUUUACUGUGAAAAAAUUAGAGUGUUCAAAGCAGGCUUAUGCCGUUGAAUAUAUUAGCAUGGAAUAAUGAGAUAGGACCUCGGUACUAUUUUGUUGGUUUGCGCACUGAGGUAAUGGUUAAUAGGGACAGUUGGGGGUAUUCGUAUUCCAUUGUCAGAGGUGAAAUUCUUGGAUUUUUGGAAGACGAACGACUGCGAAAGCAUUUACCAAGGAUGUUUUCA